Molecule: ribosomal RNA, 674 nt
Filed under: Clavaria falcata
Lineage: Eukaryota; Fungi; Basidiomycota; Agaricomycetes; Agaricales; Clavariaceae
Description: eukaryotic LSU rRNA
Rfam family: 5.8S ribosomal RNA (bases 248-401)
Source: RNAcentral
UUAGAGGAAGUAAAAGUCGUAACAAGGUUUCCGUAGGUGAACCUGCGGAAGGAUCAUUAUCGAUUCAAAAAGGAUGUGCUGGCCGCAAGGCAUAAGUGCACUCCGAAUCUCACAUCUCCCUGUGCACUUACUGUGGGCGGAAAUGGGGCUUUUGUCCCAAUUUGCUCAUGUUUUUUACACACUCUUAUCACAUAUCAUGAAUGUAUACAAAGUAGGCUUUGUUUCAAAGCUGAAAAUAAAACAAUAUAACUUUCAACAAUGGAUCUCUUGGUUCUCGCAUCGAUGAAGAACGCAGCGAAUUGCGAUAUGUAAUGUGAAUUGCAGAAUUCAGUGAAUCAUCGAAUCUUUGAACGCACCUUGCACCCUCUGGUAUUCCGGAGGGUAUGCCUGUUUGAGUGUCAUUAACAUCUCAACGCUUGAUGGGUUCUUGUAACCCGUUCAGUGGUUGGACUUUGAAGGUUGCCGGUGUCAAAGCCAGCUCCUUUUAAAUGCAUGAGCAAGGACUAUUCCGAANCGGCUUCGGUUUGAUAAAUUUGACUUAUCUGAUGCUGUCGCUGAGGAACUAUGGUCGACNUGCUUCUAAUUGUCUUCGGACUGUCUCCUUGUGAGGCAACUACAUUGACUCUUGACCUCAAAUCAGGUAGGACUACCCGCUGAACUUAAGCAUAUCAAUA